AUGAACGCUAGCGGCAGGCCUAACACAUGCAAGUCGAGGGGUAUUUGGAGCUUGCUCCAAAGAGACCGGCGCACGGGUGCGUAACGCGUAUGCAAUCUACCUUUUAUUAAGGGAUAGCCCGGAGAAAUCCGGAUUAAUACCUUAUAGUUUAUUUGGUUGGCAUCAAUCGGAUAAUAAAGAUUUAUUGGUAAAAGAUGAGCAUGCGUCCCAUUAGUUAGUUGGUGUGGUAACGGCAUACCAAGACGAUGAUGGGUAGGGGUCCUGAGAGGGAGAUCCCCCACACUGGUACUGAGACACGGACCAGACUCCUACGGGAGGCAGCAGUGGGGAAUAUUGCACAAUGGGCGGAAGCCUGAUGCAGCAACGCCGCGUGAGGGAUGACGGCCUUCGGGUUGUAAACCUCUUUUAGCAGGGAAGAAGCUUUUGUGACGGUACCUGCAGAAAAAGCACCGGCUAACUACGUGCCAGCAGCCGCGGUAAUACGUAGGGUGCAAGCGUUAUCCGGAAUUAUUGGGCGUAAAGAGCUCGUAGGCGGUUUGUCGCGUCUGUCGUGAAAUCCUCAGGCUCAACCUGAGGCUUGCGGUGGGUACGGGCAGACUUGAGUGCGGUAGGGGAGAUUGGAAUUCCUGGUGUAGCGGUGGAAUGCGCAGAUAUCAGGAGGAACACCGAUGGCGAAGGCAGAUCUCUGGGCCGUAACUGACGCUGAGGAGCGAAAGGGUGGGGAGCAAACAGGCUUAGAUACCCUGGUAGUCCACCCCGUAAACGUUGGGAACUAGUUGUGGGGUCCUUUCCACGGAUUCCGUGACGCAGCUAACGCAUUAAGUUCCCCGCCUGGGGAGUACGGCCGCAAGGCUAAAACUCAAAGGAAUUGACGGGGACCCGCACAAGCGGCGGAGCAUGCGGAUUAAUUCGAUGCAACGCGAAGAACCUUACCAAGGCUUGACAUAUUCGAGAACACCCUGGAAACAGGGGACUCUUUGGACACUCGUUUACAGGUGGUGCAUGGUUGUCGUCAGCUCGUGUCGUGAGAUGUUGGGUUAAGUCCCGCAACGAGCGCAACCCUCGUUCUAUGUUGCCAGCACGUUAUGGUGGGAACUCAUGGGAUACUGCCGGGGUCAACUCGGAGGAAGGUGGGGAUGACGUCAAAUCAUCAUGCCCCUUAUGUCUUGGGCUUCACGCAUGCUACAAUGGCCGGUACAAUGGGCUGCGAUACCGUGAGGUGGAGCGAAUCCCAAAAAGCCGGUCCCAGUUCGGAUUGUAGUCUGCAACUCGACUACAUGAAGUCGGAGUCGCUAGUAAUCGCAGAUCAGCAACGCUGCGGUGAAUACGUUCCCGGGUCUUGUACACACC
RNAcentral lists this ribosomal RNA (1350 nucleotides) under uncultured bacterium. RNAcentral's name for it is "partial 16S ribosomal RNA". It matches the Rfam family "Bacterial small subunit ribosomal RNA", at positions 29 to 1391 of the family's 1533-position model. The record is from RNAcentral.